This 1559-nucleotide long non-coding RNA is filed under the name Nicotiana tabacum (common tobacco). RNAcentral describes it as "long non-coding RNA (NTAB_LNC007245)". The record is from RNAcentral. Lineage: Eukaryota; Viridiplantae; Streptophyta; Magnoliopsida; Solanales; Solanaceae.
UGAGAGUUACAUAUCAUGUAUAAAUAGAAAUUUUGAUCUUGAAAGUGAAGCCAAAACUUAAAAUAUAAUACCCCUAACUUCUUCUAAUGAAACUUCUCCUCCAUUUUACUACUAUCAGACAGAAAACUAAGACUUAUUUCCUCCAGAACUAAAUGAUUCUUCCAGUUUUCAGAGAGUCCAUAUCUUAUCUAUCUAGGGCUUUGCAAUUAAAAAUAAAUAUCAUCAUUUUAUCAAAAAAGUCCACUGACAAUUUUGCGGUACGAUUUCAAAUUAACCUAUCUAACUUUCAAAUAAUAUCACCCUCCUUUGAUCCCCUUCUAUUAAUCUGAUGAUCUAUUGACGAAGCAUUCAUCAAUAGUCUAAACAUCUGGCUAGUCUUUUUAUAUUAUCUUGGGCAAAAGUUACCUGCAACUUGCAAAUUAAUGAGACAAAAAUUAGUAAACCCUUGAGAUAUGCCUCAUAUUUGUAUGACUGAAACCUUAAGGAAUUGUGGCACCAGAAAAAAAAGAGAGAGAGAAGAAACUUGUAUACAUAUAAGCUAUAUCUGGCUUAAUAAUCAACUUGUCAUUGCCUUACUUAAAUUCAAUCUUUUUCCAAAAAAGAACUCUAAUACUCUCUCCCCAUCCGAAAACAUAAUGUUAUGGACAAAGUAAGAUGUUGGCAUUUGCAAUGCCACUUUUGAAGUAAGCAAUGUAUCAAUCUGAUAAGCUUUUUAGGACUCAACACUUCUUUUCUUCCUAUAAUAGUAGAGUUAAAAGCACUUUCAGAUGUUUGUCUUCAUCUGUCAGCCUCCCCACCUAUGGGAUCUCACUGGGUUGUUGUUGUUGUUGUUGUUGUUGUUGUUGUUGUUGUUGUUGUUGUUGUUGUUGUUGUUGUUGUUGUUGUUGUUGUUGUUAUCAUCGUCUUCAUCUGUUAGCCAUUGCUUUUUUUUUCUUACGAAAAUUAUCAUCAAUUGCCAACGGGUUUUUUGACAUAGCUUUCCAAUUGUGCCCUAUCAUCUCCUGAAGGAUAUAGAGUUGCAUCCCCAAUUUUGUGCAACUACCUAAUCCUCUUGUUCCGUGGUCCUCUCUUAAUUACCUCCGACGACUAUGACACAGUGAAGAAAAUAAGUGCCGCAAGAGAAAAAGAAAGAAAACAGAAACUUAAAAAUAGAUAUUUGAUAAUUAAACACCAAUCAUACGUGAAGUUUAAAUCGUACCAUGAGUUUCUUCUUUGCCGGAGCUUCCUCAAUGAUAGUUGAUAAUUAUACCUUUAUAAGGGUCUUUAUCACAAUAAUAUUCCAUUCACAAAUAAAUAAACUUCAUUAGAACAAAGAUGAAAAUGAUGAAGGAUUGAAACGAACGAUUUCCUUUUAAUUCCUUAUUUAUUAUGGAGAGAGCUCAUCACAUGGAAAAAAAUUGAAAAGUUGAAGGUUGUAAUGGUUCGGGUAAAGAAAAAACGUUGUAACAGUUGAAAUGUUGGUUUUCCUUUCCGUGUAUUUUGGAGACGCAAAGGCUUAAUUAUUCCAGUUUAAUACUGGAUUAUUCUAUUGAAUUGAGUGAGGAAAAAACCAAAUUGAC